This 460-nucleotide ribosomal RNA is filed under the name uncultured bacterium. Its description in RNAcentral is "partial 16S ribosomal RNA". It matches the Rfam family "Bacterial small subunit ribosomal RNA", at positions 338 to 795 of the family's 1533-position model. The record is from RNAcentral.
CCUACGGGUGGCUGCAGUGAGGAAUAUUGGUCAAUGGGCGCGAGUCUGAACCAGCCAAGCAGCGUGAAGGAUGACUGCCCUACGGGUUGUAAACUUCUUUUAUAAAGGAAUAAACUGCGGUACGUGUGUCUUUUUGCAUGUACCUUACGAAUAAGGAUCGGCUAACUCCGUGCCAGCAGCCGCGGUAAUACGGAGGAUCCGAGCGUUAUCCGGAUUUAUUGGGUUUAAAGGGAGCGUAGUUGGGUUGGUAAGUUAGUUGUGAAAGUUUGGGGCUCAACCCUGAAAUUGCAAUUAAUACUGGCGGUCUAGAGUACAGUUGAGGUAGGCGGAAUGCAUGGUGUAGCGGUGAAAUGCUUAGAGAUCACACAGAACUCCGAUUGCGAAGGCAGCUUACUAAACUGCAACUGACGUUGAUGCACGAAAGUGUGGGUAUCAAACAGGAUUAGAUACCCCAGUAGUC